UGGAAAGGAAGGGAGCGGCGUUCAUCACCGUGGGCCCCGCCAGCCCGUUCAACAGCUGCCCGCCGUGGAUCAGCCUGCAAGACAGAACAGACCGCCGCGUCUGCGUGAGAACCGCUCGCUGGGGCUUCUUGAUUAAAAAGGCACCUGAGGUACCUAGUGCUGGAGAUGGAGCUGCUGCACAAAGAAAUGAAAGGCCUGUGCAAAAGAAGGAUAUUCUAUUCACCAAAAGAAGCCAAAUUAGAUUGAUUUAAAGAAUCUGGAGCUACUCUGAUCUCAUUACCUCAUAUAAAAAGAGAAGUAAAUGUUCUCUUCAAAGCAGAAAAGGAAAAGGGAAUAAAAGGGACCUUCUUUGCAGCAAAAAGGUAUCAUGACAGGAGAUAAAAGUAGAAAAGGUGUAGUAGGAGAAAAGCUUUAAAUUUCAAACAUUGUAAGCCUGACUGACCCUCGUGCCUGCAUAAAUCCCAACAGAAGAUUUCAAUUAGUUAUGGCAAAUCCAAAAUUGAAACACUUCAGCAAAACACUCUGCAUAUUUUUUCACUGCAUUAUUUAUUUUUAUUUACACACUCAGAUGAGCUCUAUGUGCCUACAGAU
Molecule: long non-coding RNA, 591 nt
Organism: Serinus canaria (Common canary)
Lineage: Eukaryota; Metazoa; Chordata; Aves; Passeriformes; Fringillidae
Exons: 2
Source: RefSeq, a predicted model, not a curated record